CGCACAUUGCGCCCUUUGGUAUUCCGAAGGGCAUGCCUGUUCGAGCGUCAUUUCACCUCCUCAAGCUCUGCUUGGAAUUAAAAGCUAUCGUUAUGAUACUUUUGAAAAACUUUGGCAGUCUGUCAAGCCUUAAACGUAGUCGAUUCUUUCGUUUGUUAGGCCGAAGCAGAUCUCGUCUGAUUUAUAUCAUUUUAAGGUUGACCUCGAAUCAGGUAGGAGUACCCGCUGAACUUAA
RNAcentral lists this unclassified non-coding RNA (235 nucleotides) under Pseudofusicoccum adansoniae. RNAcentral describes it as "partial contains 5.8S ribosomal RNA, internal transcribed spacer 2, and large subunit ribosomal RNA". Lineage: Eukaryota; Fungi; Ascomycota; Dothideomycetes; Botryosphaeriales; Botryosphaeriaceae. The record is from RNAcentral.